Molecule: long non-coding RNA, 1859 nt
Filed under: Volvox carteri
Lineage: Eukaryota; Viridiplantae; Chlorophyta; Chlorophyceae; Chlamydomonadales; Volvocaceae
Description: long non-coding RNA (VCAR_LNC001367)
Source: RNAcentral
ACAGAUACAGAUACAUAGGAAGCAAUAAUGCAAGCUUCACGACAUCCUAGGCGAAAUGAAAAGUAUUAAGAUGAAAAAGGGCCUCCUUUCUCUUUACGCAUAUUGCUGUAGAACUUCUCUGAAGAAUAGGUGGCAUGAAAGUUGUCGGCAAAGCAGCUAUGGCGGAUUCACGGCGCACAAUUUCACGGCGCAAAAAAAUCCCUUUUAUAGUUUGGCGAUACAGUCUAGAAUGUUGUGUAUAGAUUUAAGUGAAUGGUUGGUUUCUGCAGGCUGGCGUCCCGCUCUCCCGGGUAGGAAAGUUCCUAUGCAUGCUAAGACGAUCUUACGCAGUAGGAUGGAGCUAGCUGAGCUGGUGGAGCAUCUUAAUCCCCUGUACGAAUAUUAUGUCCGAUAGUAAUGUUCCAAGGUCAAGGCGCUGACUUUUACCUAACCAAGGGACCGAAGGCGAAGGCGAAUGUAUGAGUUUCCUUAAUGGCAUUAGUGUCAUGAUGCCAGUGUUAAUGUCACCUUGUCAUUUUUAACAGGAAUUCGCUAAAGUGGGAUGGACUGCGACAGUCACGGCGUUGGGCUUUCGGCACAAGGCAUUGAGCAUCUCGGAACGUCAUCCGUACUGUCGAAAUAUCAUUAAUAAUACAAGAAAAUAAUUGGUUAUUGAAAAGGGCAGUAAGCAAGGAAACCAGGUGGAGUUGUUGCCUGAGGCACCACGGGAGUCCUUAAUGACAAUUAAGCAGCGAUAUUAAUGAACACAUAAGCGCAGCUUCUUAUGGCUCCUCUGGCGCUGGUCUCGCCGUUUAAAAAGAAACACGCCGCGUAGGACUUCCUAAAUGGAGCCUCGCGUUGGGCCGUGGAGGGCGGUGCGCUUAGGGCACCUGAGCCGCUGGGCACCUGAGAGAGCCGCUGCGGCGGCCUGCUAACAGCGGCACGAAUGCACGCCCGGCAAUCACGGAAGGCGGAGCACUACGGUUGGCCAGUGCAGGACGAUUGGCGAGUGACAGGUGGUGAAGUUGACUCUGUCAACUGGACAGCGAGGGAUUGCUAGCUUCACCAUGCGGGUUGCAGCUUUUGUGCAACGGUGGCCAGGCAGGUGGGCAGAAGACCUUGCUCAAUUGCUUGCAGAUUUCCCAGUGGCAGUGGAUGGGCGUCUAUCUUUACUGCACUUGCGAACCAUGGAGGGAAGGUUCAUGUAAUUUAUAGAUAACGCUGGCAGAUGUGCAUAAUGGUGGGAAUGGUUGUGGCCCAGCAGGUCCCAGCCAUUCGUUGGCUGUGCAGCAAAUCGCUUGUGAACGCAAUUCCUAAGGUUGCCCGAUGUCGGACUUCCUGCCUUCUCCGAUUUGGGCUAAGCGCGGACAUAUACACCCUGGGACACAGCCUACUAGGCUAAGUAAGCUUGAGCGGAGUCGAGCGGGAUGCUGCACGAUCGACCGUAGGCUUGUGUCCUGAAGUGCCUGGGAGUUUUUUUUGAUGCCGAAUGUUUAGCGUGUAAUACAUGGCACCGUGCGGUCCCAAGAGGGGAGUAGGCUGCUGGCUUUCCAGGGUCGAUAAGCUCAAGAGCACGUACAGGACGAGCGAGGUUUAUCCUUUUCAUGUUUUUAUACUUUCUUACCAAGUUGAUUACCUCUUGUAUCCAAAAACGCUAGAUGCGCUCGUUCUCUUCGGUCGGACUCACUUCCAACAGCCAAGCCGUUUGCAUCGUAAGCCUGCCUUAACGCUGGCUUGCAGCACAAUCUCUAGACUCUACGGACGUCACAUUCCAGGUAGCAAAUUUGUAUAUAUGAAAUGCUUAAAAGAGUGCGGCACAAUAUCUUACUGAGAGUAUUCUCAUGGUUACAUAGGUCUGGGUGGGAUGUGAACAGCACAAG